AGUCGAGCGGUAGAGAGAAGCUUGCUUCUCUUGAGAGCGGCGGACGGGUGAGUAAUGCCUAGGAAUCUGCCUGGUAGUGGGGGAUAACGUUCGGAAACGGACGCUAAUACCGCAUACGUCCUACGGGAGAAAGCAGGGGACCUUCGGGCCUUGCGCUAUCGGAUGAGCCUAGGUCGGAUUAGCUAGUUGGUGGGGUAAUGGCUCACCAAGGCGACGAUCCGUAACUGGUCUGAGAGGAUGAUCAGUCACACUGGAACUGAGGCACGGUCCAGACUCCUACGGGAGGCAGCAGUGGGGAAUAUUGGACAAUGGGCGAAAGCCUGAUCCAGCCAUGCCGCGUGUGUGAAGAAGGUCUUCGGAUUGUAAAGCACUUUAAGUUGGGAGGAAGGGCAGUUGCCUAAUACGUAACUGUUUUGACGUUACCGACAGAAUAAGCACCGGCUAACUCUGUGCCAGCAGCCGCGGUAAUACAGAGGGUGCAAGCGUUAAUCGGAAUUACUGGGCGUAAAGCGCGCGUAGGUGGUUUGUUAAGUUGGAUGUGAAAUCCCCGGGCUCAACCUGGGAACUGCAUUCAAAACUGACUGACUAGAGUAUGGUAGAGGGUGGUGGAAUUUCCUGUGUAGCGGUGAAAUGCGUAGAUAUAGGAAGGAACACCAGUGGCGAAGGCGACCACCUGGACUAAUACUGACACUGAGGUGCGAAAGCGUGGGGAGCAAACAGGAUUAGAUACCCUGGUAGUCCACGCCGUAAACGAUGUCAACUAGCCGUUGGAAGCCUUGAGCUUUUAGUGGCGCAGCUAACGCAUUAAGUUGACCGCCUGGGGAGUACGGCCGCAGGGUUAAAACUCAAAUGAAUUGAC
This 859-nucleotide ribosomal RNA is filed under the name uncultured bacterium. RNAcentral's name for it is "bacterial SSU rRNA". It matches the Rfam family "Bacterial small subunit ribosomal RNA", at positions 60 to 914 of the family's 1533-position model. The record is from RNAcentral.